Molecule: ribosomal RNA, 732 nt
Filed under: uncultured bacterium
Lineage: Bacteria
Description: bacterial SSU rRNA
Rfam family: Bacterial small subunit ribosomal RNA
Source: RNAcentral
GAGCGGCGGACGGGUGAGUAAUGCAUAGGAAUCUGCCCGGUAGUGGGGGAUAACCUGGGGAAACCCAGGCUAAUACCGCAUACGUCCUACGGGAGAAAGGGGGCUUCGGCUCCCGCUAUUGGAUGAGCCUAUGUCGGAUUAGCUAGNUGGUGAGGUAAAGUCUCACCAAGGCGACGAUCCGUAGCUGGUCUGAGAGGAUGAUCAGCCACAUCGGGACUGAGACACGGCCCGAACUCCUACGGGAGGCAGCAGUGGGGAAUAUUGGACAAUGGGGGGAACCCUGAUCCAGCCAUGCCGCGUGUGUGAAGAAGGCCCUCGGGUUGUAAAGCACUUUCAGUGAGGAAGAACGCCUGGUGGUUAAUACCCAUCAGGAAAGACAUCACUCACAGAAGAAGCACCGGCUAACUCCGUGCCAGCAGCCGCGGUAAUACGGAGGGUGCGAGCGUUAAUCGGAAUUACUGGGCGUAAAGCGCGCGUAGGUGGCUUGAUAAGCCGGUUGUGAAAGCCCCGGGCUCAACCUGGGAACGGCAUCCGGAACUGUCAAGCUAGAGUGCAGGAGAGGAAGGUAGAAUUCCCGGUGUAGCGGUGAAAUGCGUAGAGAUCGGGAGGAAUACCAGUGGCGAAGGCGGCCUUCUGGACUGACACUGACACUGAGGUGCGAAAGCGUGGGUAGCAAACAGGAUUAGAUACCCUGGUAGUCCACGCCGUAAACGAUGUCGACCAGCCGUUGGG